CCAAGCACGCUUAACUGCGGAGUUCUGAUGAUCGCAUCCAAACUCCGCAGUUAAGCGUGCUUGGGCGAGAGUAGUACUAGAAUGGGUGACCCCCUGGGAAGUCCUCGUGUUGCAUGUC
RNAcentral lists this ribosomal RNA (118 nucleotides) under Ananas comosus (pineapple). Lineage: Eukaryota; Viridiplantae; Streptophyta; Magnoliopsida; Poales; Bromeliaceae. The record is from RNAcentral.